CGCCCGCUACUCCGCUGCCUGCACCCACCGCCGGCCGCGCCGCCACCCGCCCCCGCGCUGCACCCUCCCCCCCCCUUCUCCACCAGAUCCACACCCCACCACCUCCCUCGCCGAGCAUGAGCUCCCCCGAGCAGGCCCUCCGACCGGCCGCCGCCCCUCGCUGUCUGCUAGGGUUGAGGUUGUCAGCCUUCUCCGCCGCGCCACCUUCCCUCCACCGGCAGAUCCGGUUCGGCUCCUCGGACGGCAAGGUGCUUGGCGAGGAGAAGGACGCCCGGAAGUUGACCCAGAUCCGGUUCGGCUCCUCCGGUGGCAAGGUGCUCAGCUCCAGCGGCAAAGCGGCAAGGUGUUCUCUGUACACGGUUUUGGUUCAGUUUGCAUCUUCAGUACAUACACAUGGUCGGUUCAGUUUGCAUCCGUCCAUUACAGUAGUUUUGCAGUUUUAUUUGAUGCAAUUUUGAUGGACACAGCAACAAGUUUAUGAGAUACAGUGUGUUCUUCCUUGCAAAGAGCUUUGAUGAUUAAAGAAACAAUUUUGCUCAAUGUUUGACUAUACACACUAUACUGCUAGUAGAAACUAAUAAGCCAAAUAAUGUGCAAGGUGCUCUGUUGGCAAGUUGCCCCUGCUGAUCUCCUCCUCCUCUGCAAGGUGCUCUGGCAGCAAGGUGCCUCUGCUGGUCCCCUCCUCGUCUGCAACAACAACAGCAGCAACCAGGACAUGCAUUAGUUUGAAGACGGGACCGUCGUUGCAGGGCUUCUUGUUGGAGGGACAACCGGCACCGAGCCACUCAAUGCAUUUAUGGGAUUAUGUUUCUCCCGCUUGUUAAAGAAACCGGAAGGGGGUGGGUCAACGAAGGUGCUGGCUUGAGGAUUGAUGUAUACGGUGGGAAGUUCAAACAGCAUAACGGGCCCGACUCUGAUCCGGCCUCACAGGACAUUGAUGCUACGAUUUCCGUCUAGUCGGGACAAGGCAAGAAGGGUGGCCGGUUAUACGUUGGUGACGGCGCCAUCCGGAAGAAGGACAUUCCGAAUCUCUCCCACCUCCGUGCUACCACGUCGAGUUCAGGUCCUGCUAUAGAGCGUUGCCCACAGCCUGGGCUGCACAUGCUCCAUCAAUUCGAGGGCCGCCUAGAGGAAGAAACCAGGUUGCGGUAGGAGGCUUAUGCCAAUGCCGCGCUUAAACAGGAGCAAGCCAUGAAAAUGCAGCAAGCCCUAUUUCAACAACAGGAAUGAUCACUUGAGGUUUGCAUCGUAGAUGCCGUUGGUAGUGGGCAUACAUGCUGCGGUGGAGCUCAUUGCAUCUUUUAGGUUCAUGCCUGGUGUCAACUUGGAACUCACGGCCACGGUCCUUUCAUUUGUGAACUCUGGAUGCCUAUGUAUGUAUGUUGUUGUGAACCUUCGUUGGAUAUGUAUGCAUGUGCGGACUUGGAACUCACUCACGGUCCAUUCGUUUGUGAACUUGUGUUGCGUAUGUAUGCAUGUGCGGACUUUGAACUCAGGGCCGGGAUUCGUUGUUAUAUUGUUGUUGUGAACCUUCGUUGGAUAUAUAUUGCUGGAUAUAUUUUGGUUGAUCAUGUA
Molecule: RNA transcript, 1575 nt
Organism: Triticum aestivum (bread wheat)
Lineage: Eukaryota; Viridiplantae; Streptophyta; Magnoliopsida; Poales; Poaceae
Exons: 5
Source: RefSeq, a predicted model, not a curated record